RNAcentral lists this ribosomal RNA (253 nucleotides) under uncultured bacterium. Its description in RNAcentral is "partial 16S ribosomal RNA". It matches the Rfam family "Bacterial small subunit ribosomal RNA", at positions 524 to 776 of the family's 1533-position model. The record is from RNAcentral.
UACAGAGGGGGCAAGCGUUAUUCGGAAUUAUUGGGCGUAAAGGGCGCGUAGGCGGCUUUGCAAGUGACGGGUGAAAUCCCUCGGCUUAACCGAGGAACUGCCUGUCAGACUGCAUGGCUUGAGACCAGGAGAGGUGAGUGGAAUUCCCAGUGUAGCGGUGAAAUGCGUAGAUAUUGGGAGGAACACCAGUGGCGAAGGCGGCUCACUGGACUGGUACUGACGCUGAGGAGCGAAAGCGUGGGGAGCGAACAGG